RNA transcript from Drosophila grimshawi, 2634 nucleotides. It is a transcript of the gene named ATR-interacting protein mus304-like, with no coding region annotated. NCBI's taxonomy places the organism in Eukaryota, Metazoa, Arthropoda, Insecta, Diptera, Drosophilidae. The transcript has 5 exons. The record is from RefSeq and is a predicted model, not a curated record.
CACAGAGUGAACUUCUCUCAUUCAAGAAUAACAUACAAUACGCUUGUUUAAAAGAAAAGAAACAUCAAAAUGGCAAAGCGGUUGGGGCCAAUGGAUAAGUUGGGAUCUGCGAAAAAGCCCAAAUUAGACGUUAGUGUAAGCCGCGGGCAAUUCAGCUCGACCACUUCUAAUAUUGUGGAUUUCUGGGCAAAUGACGACGACGAUGCUGUGUUGUUAGCUACUCAAAUAGCAGAGGAAAAGCAGCGGCAAACUAAUGGCAUGGAAUUUACAUUCAGUUCAUUUGCGCCUCACACUCGUGGAAUUACGAGCACACAACAUAUAUUUCAAAAUGAUAUGCUAAAUAUGAGAGUGGAAGAAAUAUUUGGUACUGAUGAAACCUUUGUUUUUUUACCCGAUGCUGGCCGAGAGCAACAAAAACCAACUUAUGAUGAAUUUGAUGCAACGAGAACUAGGCGACAAGUGGAACAGGAACGACAACUCAAAUUUCUAAUGGAACGUAUCGAUGUGCUUAAGAAGGAGAAUGAAAAAUUGCACAGACGCCUUAUAGAAAGCAAUAAUCGAGCGGGCGGCAAUGAAGGCGAGGUCAGCCUACUCCGCAAUGAACUCCGACAAGCACGUAAACUGCUUCAAGCUAGCAAGAUCGAAAAGUUUGCAAUAGCUGAAGAAGGGGAAAAGGACUGCAAUAAGAAAGUAGCUGAAAUCUUAAAAUUCGAAACGCAAACAGCAAUGAAAGGAGUAUAUUUAAAAAUAACGAUGUAAUCGUCACCGAUACUGACGAAUGUCGUAAUUUGCUUCGCAUAGAAGAUUUAUGUAUUGUAAGCCCUUCCACGAAUCAGUUUUUCACCAAACCACACUACGAGUACGCCAAAGAUGCACAUGCAAAGAAACAGCGCACUUUUUUUGAAAUGGAGCUUGAGCAACUUCUAUAUUACGCAAAAGGGUUUUCCGAGCGCAGCACGGUUGAAACGACCACAGGUCGCAUAAUAGAAUCAGUCUGCAGAGUCUUUACCGAGUUUUGGACCUAUACCCAAAGCUUGGAGUUACCACAAAACUGUAUGAUGUAUCCCUAUCAUCGUUUCGACCUACAAUCAGAUCACCGUACUUAUAUGCGAUAUUGAUUAAUUCAACCAGGCGCUUUAUACAACCCAGAGCAAGCCAUCCCAUUACGUCGCUAUGUUGGCACAUUGGCACAGAUUUGUCGAGAACAGAGCAGCAUAUCACAUACAUUGCUUCAAAAAAGUAUGGUAAAUACUGGGUAUUGCAAAUAGUAAUCGAGGCGAUAACUAAAAUAAGUUACUCUUCCGAGGUAUUCGAGCAUUUUGGUGUCCUAGAGGCAACUGCAGCGCUCCUGCACAGCUUUCUGGUUCACAUGAAUCCUGUGGUGAUGUCUACAUCCGGACCUCAACUUGAAUUGCUGUUUGAUUUAUUAAAACAUUUGGUCUUUACUCGUCCAAGUCCCUGGGUUUUUCGCGAACUCAGUGCAUGCAUGUUAUUAUGCUCACGUUACGGUUGGCUUAUGACAGGAAUGUGUGUUAAUAGUCCAAGUAAUUACUUUAUAUCUGAUCGCGUUCGUUCGGUUUACCGGUUUGGGUCAAAAUCGUGUUUAAUACAGGUCUACGCGGGACUCAUCGAGCUAUGUUUAUGUAGCGAACUGCCUCUACAACCGAAUCAUUUUAAACUUUUGCUAGCGAUAUGCUCAAAUCAUGUGCGAUUCGUAUACAGCUGUUUCGCAGCCACUCCUCAAUUCAUACUGAGAAUGCUUUCAUUUCCAUCCCUUACUGAUGAGGAGAAAGAGGAAAAUAAGAAUAUGCCCUCAAAAGUUGGCAGUUUACACUCUGGUGUAACGCUUACCAAUUACAAUUCCGCAAGUAGUGUUAAUGCUUCCGCCAUUAACUCAGCGAACAUAUCAAAGUUCUCCUUAAUACCAGUGCAGGACCCGGUACCGCACGAAGUUGGUUGCGAAUGCUAUGUUAAGCUUUGUCUAAGCGUUGUGACGAUCGUUUUUCAAAUGAUGUUCCAAUGGGUGAUCCAAGAUAAAAAAUCAGACAUUUCACAAGUUGGGGAAAUCUCACAUAUUGCCGUACAUUUACUUACACUUAUUUUUCGUGAAUAUUACGUCUCGUGCCUUUUUCGGGAUUCGGAAGAAACAACAAAACAUUAUCUAUUUCUACUAUGCAAUUGGUGGAAGGAUCACGCGCGGAUCUUGAGUUUCGAAGAUUCACAUUUACGAUUUUUAAGACAACUGCAAGACAUGCAGUUUAUGUUAAGGCCUUUGCACAAAGAAGGAAAUCCCAGCAAUCCAAACAAUGACUUGGCUGAAUGGACAAGUAUUGUGUGAUGGGAAUAUACCAUAAUGUGUUUGAUCAGCUGUCUUAAUUAGUCCUGAAUCUCUAUUAGCUUGUGAUUCAAAUGACUUUUUUAAUGACUUGAAAAGGAUUGCUUAUAAUUUGGAAUAAACAUAAUAAUAAUUUUGUCCAUAAAAAUGUAAAUACUUAUCUAGUAAUUUUCUUAUUGUUGUUUGUUAAUAUGUAUAAUUUACUUAUAGUUUUUGGGGGGAAAUACAAUUGGGAAAUAUUUAAAGAUGUAUUUGUUUGUAGAUAAUUUAUAAAAAAUCAAUAAAUAUGUAUAUAAAAG